This 256-nucleotide long non-coding RNA is filed under the name Parus major (Great Tit). RNAcentral's name for it is "lncRNA (ENSPMJG00000008870.1)". The record is from RNAcentral. Lineage: Eukaryota; Metazoa; Chordata; Aves; Passeriformes; Paridae.
UGAGGAAAGGUCCGGACAAGGCUGAUCUUUCCUUGCCCACGGGCUCAUCCCUGGUUCAUUCCCUUCACUGGACCUUACUACAUCUUUUCACAGAGACUGACUGGCACCUCUUCUUGGAUAUCUUUUCCAUUUUCAGGGAAUGUUGUUGAUUGGAACACUACAUCUGAAUUUCCAGAGUCUGGAGCCAAAAGAAGUAAGUUUCAAGUUCGUGGUGUUACACAGAGGUGCCAGAGUUCACCUAAAACCUAUGAGAGAG